GGGCCAGUAGCUUAGCCUGGUGGAGCGCGCGUCUUAUAAGGCGUCGUUUCGUACACUCGCUUAAGAAAGCGCGAGGUCCCGAGUUCAAAUCUCGGCUGGCCCA
RNAcentral lists this transfer RNA (103 nucleotides) under Candidatus Undinarchaeum marinum. It matches the Rfam family "tRNA". Rfam says of the family: Transfer RNA (tRNA) molecules are approximately 80 nucleotides in length. Their secondary structure includes four short double-helical elements and three loops (D, anti-codon, and T loops). Further hydrogen bonds mediate the characteristic L-shaped molecular structure. tRNAs have two regions of fundamental functional importance: the anti-codon, which is responsible for specific mRNA codon recognition, and the 3' end, to which the tRNAs corresponding amino acid is attached (by aminoacyl-tRNA synthetases). tRNAs cope with the degeneracy of the genetic code in two manners: having more than one tRNA (with a specific anti-codon) for a particular amino acid; and 'wobble' base-pairing, i.e. permitting non-standard base-pairing at the 3rd anti-codon position. The record is from Rfam by way of RNAcentral. RNAcentral also lists the same sequence under 1 other name. Lineage: Archaea; Nanobdellati; Candidatus Undinarchaeota; Candidatus Undinarchaeia; Candidatus Undinarchaeales; Candidatus Undinarchaeaceae.